This 400-nucleotide ribosomal RNA is filed under the name uncultured bacterium. Its description in RNAcentral is "bacterial SSU rRNA". It matches the Rfam family "Bacterial small subunit ribosomal RNA", at positions 975 to 1375 of the family's 1533-position model. The record is from RNAcentral.
CUACUCUUGACAUCCAGAGAACUUUCCAGAGAUGGAUUGGUGCCUUCGGGAACUCUGAGACAGGUGCUGCAUGGCUGUCGUCAGCUCGUGUUGUGAAAUGUUGGGUUAAGUCCCGCAACGAGCGCAACCCUUGUCCUUAGUUACCAGCACGUAAUGGUGGGCACUCUAGGGAGACUGCCGGUGACAAACCGGAGGAAGGUGGGAUGACGUCAAGUCAUUAUGGCCCUUACGGCCUGGGCUACACACGUGCUACAAUGGUCGGUACAGAGGGUUGCCAAGCCGCGAGGUGGAGCUAAUCCCACAAAACCGAUCGUAGUCCGGAUCGCAGUCUGCGACUCGACUGCGUGAAGUCGGAAUCGCUAGUAAUCGCGAAUCAGAAUGUCGCGGUGAAUACGUUCCC